GACCCAUUUGAAGUACGAGAAGAAUCCUAAGAUAAAGGAGGCAAUUACCCAGAAAUUUACUGAGUAUUUACGCCGGGCGGAGGAGAUUCGGGCUGUGUUGGAUGAGGGUGGGAGUGGGCCUGGUCCAAAUGGAGGAGAUGCUGCUGUAAUUGCUAAGCCUAAGACUAAGCCUAAGGAUGGUGAGGAUGGUGAGGAUCCUGAGCAGUCUAAGCUAAGGGCUGGGCUUAAUUCAGCAAUUGUUAGAGAAAAACCUAAUGUGAAGUGGAAU
Molecule: unclassified non-coding RNA, 268 nt
Filed under: Hevea brasiliensis (rubber tree)
Lineage: Eukaryota; Viridiplantae; Streptophyta; Magnoliopsida; Malpighiales; Euphorbiaceae
Source: RNAcentral